UCUUCGGCAAUGGACGAAAAUCUGACGGAGCAACGCGGCGUGAGGGAUGAAGGUCUUCGGAUCGUAAAACUCUGUUGUCAGGGCAGAACAAGUAACGUUCGAAUAGGGCGGUACCUUGACCGUACCCAACCAGAAAGCCACGGCUAACUACGUGCCAGCAGCCGCGGUAAUACGUAGGUGGCAAGCCUUAUCCGGAAUUAUUGGGCGUAAAGCGCGCGCAGGCGGUUUCUUAAGUCUGAUGUGAAAGCCCACGGCUCAACCGUGGAGAGUCAUUGGAAACUGGGAAGCUUGAGUGCAGAAGAGGAGGGUGGAAUUCCAUGUGUAGCGGUGAAAUGCGUAGAGAUAUGGAGGAACACCAGUGGCGAAGGCGACUCUCUGGUCUGCAACUGACGCUGAGGCGCGAAAGCGUGGGGGGCGAACA
RNAcentral lists this ribosomal RNA (421 nucleotides) under uncultured bacterium. Its description in RNAcentral is "partial 16S ribosomal RNA". It matches the Rfam family "Bacterial small subunit ribosomal RNA", at positions 362 to 774 of the family's 1533-position model. The record is from RNAcentral.